AAUAGCCUAACGGCUGAACCAGCAACUUGGAGGAAUGUAUAGCAAUAGCUAAUUGUGUCAAACGCAAAAUCGAUUUCUUGAUUAAAAUUCUGGGUAGAAUUAUGAUUAUGACAUUGUCUACCCACGUGUCUUGACCAAAUUGCGUGCCAGCAGUCGCGGUAAUACGUAGAAGACUAGUGUUAUUCAUCUUUAUUUGGUUUAAAGGGUACCUAGACGGUAAAUCAAGCCCUGCGGGACUAAUUUGCUAGAGUUACUUGUGAGGGGGUUUUAAAGUACUAAUGGUGUAGAGAUGAAAUUUUGUAAUACCAUUUUUCGAAGGAAAGUUAUGGCACAGGUAUAGGCGAAAGCAUCCCCUUAUGUGAUAGCUUUGAGUCGCGAACAGGAUUAGAUACCCUGGUAGUCAAAGCAGAGAAUAAUGAGUGUCAUAGGUUAGUUUAUUCUAUAAAUGAAAGUGUAAGCACUCCACCUCAAGAGUAAUUUGGCAACAUUGGAACUGAAAUCAUUAGACCGUUUCUGAAACCAGUAGUGAAGUAUGUUGUUUAAUUUGAUAAUCCGCAAAAAACCUUACCAUGAAUAUUUACAAGCGUUGCACGGCUGUCUUCAGUUAAUGUCGUGAGAUUUUGGUUAGUUCCAUUAAAUUAACGCAAGCCCUUACUUUAUUUUAAAAUAAAGUAGUUCUCCACUAGAUUGGAUAAGAUAACAGGGACUAAGACAAGUCAUCAUGGCCUGAAUAUUAUAAACCUUUACAAAAGGAUGUGAAAUUGUGAAAUUGAGCUA
RNAcentral lists this ribosomal RNA (777 nucleotides) under Brianaria bauschiana. Its description in RNAcentral is "SSU rRNA". It matches the Rfam family "Bacterial small subunit ribosomal RNA", at positions 370 to 1270 of the family's 1533-position model. The record is from RNAcentral. Lineage: Eukaryota; Fungi; Ascomycota; Lecanoromycetes; Lecanorales; Psoraceae.